This 31-nucleotide non-coding RNA is filed under the name Mus musculus (house mouse). Lineage: Eukaryota; Metazoa; Chordata; Mammalia; Rodentia; Muridae. The record is from RNAcentral.
UAAAGACUGGUACCCUAACUCAUCUUCCAAC